AACGAACGCUGGCGGCAUGCCUAACACAUGCAAGUCGAACGAAGGCUUCGGCCUUAGUGGCGCACGGGUGCGUAACGCGUGGGAAUCUGCCCUUUGGUUCGGAAUAACAGCUGGAAACGGCUGCUAAUACCGGAUGAUGACGAAAGUCCAAAGAUUUAUCGCCAGAGGAUGAGCCCGCGUUGGAUUAGGUAGUUGGUGGGGUAAAGGCCUACCAAGCCGACGAUCCAUAGCUGGUCUGAGAGGAUGAUCAGCCACACUGGGACUGAGACACGGCCCAGACUCCUGGGGGAGGGAGGAGUGGGGAAAAUUGGAAAGGGGGCCGAAGCCUGAACCAGCAAGGCCGGGUGGGUGAUUAAGGCCCUGGGUUUGUAAAGCUCUUUUCCCGGGGAAGAAAAUAACGGUACGGGGAAAAAAAGCCCCGCUAAACUCCGU
Molecule: ribosomal RNA, 432 nt
Filed under: uncultured bacterium
Lineage: Bacteria
Description: partial 16S ribosomal RNA
Rfam family: Bacterial small subunit ribosomal RNA
Source: RNAcentral